AGAAGCUUACCCUGUCUUUUUUAAUAAUUUGAAUUUGUGCCUAAAACUUUUUGAUUGGUUGAUUCUCCUUAAAUUAUACACAAACACACACACACACAGAGGAAUCCAGCAUAAAUACUUAAGGAUCUUUGCUUAUUUUGGAACUGCAUGCUCAUUUAUAUUUAUCCCUCUGCUGAAAUUCUGUAUAAAGUAUUCAGCAUAGGAGCAUGGUUACAUUCUGCUGGACAAGCUCUCAUCCUGUGUAACCUCCUUGUUGGGUUUGUGGAAGUGGGAUAUACAAUGACUCUCCGGCUUUGUCACAGCAUGUUCAUGCCAAGUGGCAAAUCCACAUCUUCCUGAGAAGUAACCUUAACAACAAUGUACCUUUUCACUUGCUUUGAUGGGUCAGGUGUUUUUGGACAGGUGUUGAAGCAUGUCACCUCAUUUCCAUAGCUAUUGAUAGUACUACAGAGCAUUUCUACCAAUUGCUCACUGGGUUAGAAAAUGAAGAAGCAAACAUUUUUGCUAAGUUGUUUCACAGGUUUUGAUGGCAAUAGUACCUUCUUACCAUUUAACAUGUUUAGUCUUCCUAAUGAAAUUAUAUGAGUUGGCAUCCAAUAGGGGUCUGUUAUAACAUUACACCUGAAGCCCUCAUCUAAGACAUUUGGUGUUUAACUAAAGGAAAAAAUGGCUUCUUUGUACCUGUUUACACAGUAGAGUGGAAGAGCACUCAUUUAAAAGAAGCCUCCCUUGGAUGAUGAAAUCAUUACAACACUGUUCCAGGAAAUAAAAUCAACUGCAGCCAAUUCCUUGGUUUUAGUAGGAAAGAUAGCCCAUUUUGUGAUCUGCAAUGUUUAAAUCAAUUGAACGAUGGUGAAAUCUCUCGCCUGAAAUGGCUAUUACACAGCUUGCAACCUUUUGUUCAAGAGAUUAAGUUUGCAUCUCCUCACAUUAUCUCCUUGUAAUUGGAAAACUUUCAUUUUGACAGAGAAAAUGUGCCAGUAUCCCUGUGAGCUUUGCCACAAGCCAAUGCAGAAUGCCAUCUGGAGGAUGCAUGCCCCAGUCAUGCAACAGCCUCCUGUCGGCUUGUAUCUGGAACUUUGCAACAGAACAACUAAUAGCAUCUUAAGCUCCAUUUGUCUAGCUCGCUAGUGCUCUUGGCAGAGGUCAUAACCAGCAGUGGUUUUGUUGAUUUGCUGCAUCAAAUGUAAUUAGGUUAAAGCACUCACUGACAGAGGCUCUGAUAAUGGCAUAAAAGCCUCGGGCUUAGAUUUACCCAUUGUGUCAAAUUUAAGUUUAGAUCAACAAAGACAUACUAAUUUCAUCACUGGAACAAUAGAACUUAAUAGUUUUUAAAGAUGCUUGUUUGAGAUGACAAGCUUUAUCUUUCCUUUGGAUCUCAUAAUUGUUUCAUUUUUUCUCCCCCUUUCCUUUUAUUUUUAGUCAUUGGCUUCCAAUGAAGUGGUGAUAUUUCCUGCUGGGAAAGACAGUGUCAUCUGUACACUGGCCAUACAUCCCUUCUAAACCUGACAUUUGAGUGCCUUGUGGAAAAUGAUGAGAUGUUUUUUAUCAGGUUACACCAAAUAAUUUUGAACUCUAACAGUUUCAUACUUGUAAGGGUAGAGGUAACAUUAUUACUGACCCUUUAACCCUUGCUUACUGGAAAACCCCAAUAGUGUCAGAAGCCUCUUUAUAAAUGAGUCAGUUUCAGGCUCUGAGUAAGAUGGAGAAACCAUUACUUGGGGUUACAUUUAGGGCAAAGCUGAGCUCAGAGCAGAAGAUAGACUUUAGCUGCUAUUAAGAGUCAGAGAAAAAUACAAACAAGAAUUUCUGCUUAUUUCAGAGAAGGCUAAAUUUACCAGAUACAAAGUUUAACAAUUUUCCACAUAAAUGUUGUAAAACAAAUCAGUAGGGGUCUAUGCAAGAGAGGGAGAACUUGGACAUGGUGUCAGUGGGGUGGGAACACUUUCCUGGAAUGGCUGUGCUGAUGACAUGGAUGAGAUUUUUUAAGAACUAGUAGAAGAGAUAAAUAUGAUGUCAUAUGCAAAAUAGUAAUGUGUGAAAUGCAUUUUUUUAUUGACUUAUAAAUUUCCUCUCACUUCCACUGAUUCUCUAACAUCCCUCCAACCCCAGAGCUUGCAAAGAAAACCCUCUGAAUUUCCAGGGGAUGGCACUGAUUUCUGUGGACUUUGUGCCUCGUUGUGGAAGCUAUCUUGGUUUGAGUGUUCCAGGUAUGCUGCUUUUGAUAAAAGCAAUAGGCACAUGUGAGAAUGAGGUUAAGUAAGUGUUUAUUUGAGGAUUUAAUAUCACACACACUCUAGGAAUAAAGCAAUUAUCAUGCUGUUAAUUUCAUAUUCAUGUAUGGCUUAUUUAUUUGUUGUUUACCUCUCUGCAUAAUGAAAAUGCCAUGGAAAUCUGCUUCUUCUGGCACUCUAAUUUUAAAUGAUGCUAAAUGUUAUGUAUAAUUUUAAGUUACAGAUUGCUAAUUCCAUUCUGUUUUAAAUACUCCAUGUAUGAGAAGCCUCUCUGUUCUUGCUGAGUCCUUUUAAAGCAGAAUCAAAGCAUAACUGUCUUAAGUAAUUACAGAGUAGGUAGUUCAUAGAUUAAAACAUGAACUCAAACAUUGUAUUUUGAACCAUAAAGUUAUCUGAGUUAUACACAUGUAUCUCCCUUAUAUUUCUAAGAAUCAACAUCUUAAUUACUUUUCUGACAAAUAUAAUAUAGUCAGAAGAUAGGGGCACAUUGUCCCACUGAUAAAUUAUUUGCAUUUGGUUUACUUGUAAUCUCAUGGUAGGGUCAGCAUUUGGUGAAGUGAUUCUGAAAGCUUCAAGCUACUGAAGUUUUCAUCUAUUUACAUGACAUGAUAUAUUUAAAGAACCAGUCACUGAGAGAAUUCUAAGCUAGUUCAUCUGGGGAUGUAACUAAGAAAAAGAAAAAGAAAUAAAUUCAUAUCCAUUGUACGUGAAGUCUCUCUCCAGCCUGGGAAUCCACUCAAGUUACAUGCUUCAAAUUCUAUUUUCUGACCCUUUCUUACCAGAUCCAUAUCUGGAACCAGAAUGAUGUGCCAUCCAAAUUUGUCUAAAUAUUUUAUUUAUUCAACCACUAUUACUCUGUGCCUACCAUAUGCAUAGAUUAAGUCACCACUCUUGAGCUACUGCAGCCUGAUUGAGAAGAUAAUACAACAGAUGUGAAAUAUUGAAUAAUAAUACUUUAAAUACUUCAAAGGCAAAAAUUAUUGAGGAAAUUCAUUUCUAAACACCCUUAACACAGUCUGCAAAGCUUGGUAUGUGCCAGUUGUUCAAUUUCCAUUGUUAUUUACAAAAGUGAAACUUUGAAUUAAG
Molecule: long non-coding RNA, 3320 nt
Filed under: Sus scrofa (pig)
Lineage: Eukaryota; Metazoa; Chordata; Mammalia; Artiodactyla; Suidae
Description: lncRNA (ENSSSCG00000054458.1)
Source: RNAcentral